GGAUUGGUUACGACCCAGCAAAGACUCUGGUCUGAACAGCCAAGGGAUACAGGAUCUCACCCAAUCUGACCAGAGGGCUGACUCCCAUUUACCUGAAAGGGAAACCAGGAGUAUAGCUGCAUCAUCAUGGAUACAGGUACUUGUCCCAGUGAACCUAGCAGUGUUCCUCAAUGCAGGUGCUGGUGGGAAUGUAUGAAGAGGCCCCUGGGAAUUCAAGGAAAAGUGAAAAUCCAUCAUUCCCUGAAGAAACUCUGCCACACUCCAGUCUACCCACAUUUUUCUUUUAUGGCUUUAUACCCAUUGAAGCUUCUGGAAGAAGGCACUGGAGGACACAUCUGUGAAUCAGUGCGGCCCUUCAAACUCGUUGUUCCUGUUACCUGCAGAGGUGCACGCCUUCAGGCUCUGAAAACAGCUGCAGCUGUCCGAGGUUUGCAGUUACUUUGAAGCAUUAUGACAAAACUAUACUUGCUAAAUUAUCCUGGUAAAUACAGCCUCCAUGGCAUCAGAAGAAAAGUCCAAAAAACCAAGUCUCUUGCAAUGCAUUACGGUCACGGCUCAUCUGACUUCCUC
Chroicocephalus ridibundus (black-headed gull) is the source of this 570-nucleotide long non-coding RNA. RefSeq lists it as uncharacterized. The transcript has 4 exons. The record is from RefSeq and is a predicted model, not a curated record. NCBI's taxonomy places the organism in Eukaryota, Metazoa, Chordata, Aves, Charadriiformes, Laridae.